GAAACUCUGGAGCCUUCAUCAGACUUGUUGAAAUGAUUGGGAGAAAGCUAGGAAAUUCGUGAAACAAAGGAGACUGAAGACUUGAUUUCUUCCUUGGAUGCUGAUCUUUUCGCUGAAUGUACGCUCUGAAAGGGCAGGGGUCUUUGUAGCCCCUAGAAGGUGACUGGCACAUGGAAGCCUUCAGUAAGUCUUCGUGAAAGAAUGAACGGAUGAAAAGAAAUACGAAGCAUGCUUACCAAAGAACCAUCAAUGACUCAGGUGGCCGAUAAUGGAAUGUGCUGCCUUAGAAGAGGUAGGUUCCCUGUCAAGUGAUUACUUAAAUCAGAAUUUGAGUAAAUGUCUUUAAGUAGUGCUAUAAAUAGAUUUCUAUAUGACUUCUAACCUGAGAUUCUCUCCAACUUUAAAGUCCCCUGACGAUGGUUUUGUUACUGCUUCUACUUAAGAACUUACAAAGGCUUCCUAUUGCCUACCUAAGUAACUCACUUUCCUUUUUUCAAGGCCCUGCUUACUUUGAUCCCACUCUGGUUUUUUUCCAGUACUUUUGAAAAGCUUUUCUCAUCCCACAC
Molecule: long non-coding RNA, 566 nt
Filed under: Equus caballus (horse)
Lineage: Eukaryota; Metazoa; Chordata; Mammalia; Perissodactyla; Equidae
Description: lncRNA (ENSECAG00000048216.1)
Source: RNAcentral